AUGCCCAGCAAUGUCAUAUUCAUCGUAUAAUAUUAGUCUUACGUCUCUCAUAGUUAUGGUAAGCCCUAGUUAUCCAUAUAUAUUACCCGGAUCAAAGAGUUCCUUUAUAAACAUCCACAGUUGGUGAUCCUCUCAGACAUCUACCUUCCCGACGCAGUGGCUCUUAGCAUAUACACCUGCAUGCUCAAAGAGCGCUGUGGCUGCCUACAGGACCGCGCAGAGUAUUUCUGCACGGUGCUACUUCUCUCUUCGGCGAGAAGGGCGGUCGUGUGCUCCCCCACGCACUGCGGGUUUACCUAUAAUGCCCAUAGCUGGGAACUCCCUAACGCCCCUUUCGCUAGCAACGACUGCAUUCUCACAGUUCGUAGUUUGAUAGUAGGAGGGCGGAAAUAU
Eremothecium gossypii ATCC 10895 is the source of this 393-nucleotide small nuclear RNA. The record is from RefSeq. Lineage: Eukaryota; Fungi; Ascomycota; Saccharomycetes; Saccharomycetales; Saccharomycetaceae.